CAUCAUAGUAACUGUCUCCCAUGGUGGUU
Molecule: non-coding RNA, 29 nt
Filed under: Homo sapiens (human)
Lineage: Eukaryota; Metazoa; Chordata; Mammalia; Primates; Hominidae
Source: RNAcentral